UGGUUCUUAUCAUUAUCCACCUAUUGAACAAAUAGUUGGGCAAUGUGGCAAGUUCUGUUUACUGGAAAGGCUUUUGUCAGAAUUGUUUGCUCGCAAGCACAAAGUUCUGAUAUUCUCUCAGUGGACUAGAGUACUGGACAUAAUGGAUUACUAUUUUAGUGAAAGGGGCUUUGAUGUUUGUAAAAUUGAUGGCCGUGUGAAAUUGGAUGAAA
This 212-nucleotide unclassified non-coding RNA is filed under the name Hevea brasiliensis (rubber tree). The record is from RNAcentral. Lineage: Eukaryota; Viridiplantae; Streptophyta; Magnoliopsida; Malpighiales; Euphorbiaceae.